Molecule: ribosomal RNA, 263 nt
Filed under: uncultured bacterium
Lineage: Bacteria
Description: partial 16S ribosomal RNA
Rfam family: Bacterial small subunit ribosomal RNA
Source: RNAcentral
GUCCACGCCGUAAACGUUGGGCACUAGGUGUGGGACUCUAUCAACGGGUUCCGUGCCGUAGCUAACGCAUUAAGUGCCCCGCCUGGGGGAGUACGGCCGCAAGGCUAAAACUCAAAGGAAUUGACGGGGGCCCGCACAAGCGGCGGAGCAUGUGGCUUAAUUCGAUGCAACGCGAAGAACCUUACCUGGGUUGAACUAUGCCGGAAAAGCCGUAGAGAUACGGUGUCCUUCGGGGCCGGUGAUAGGUGGUGCAUGGCUGUCGU